RNAcentral lists this ribosomal RNA (897 nucleotides) under uncultured bacterium. Its description in RNAcentral is "bacterial SSU rRNA". It matches the Rfam family "Bacterial small subunit ribosomal RNA", at positions 550 to 1447 of the family's 1533-position model. The record is from RNAcentral.
UUUAUUGGGCGUAAAGCGAGCGCNGGCGGUUAGAUAAGUCUGAAGUUAAAGGCUGUGGCUUAACCAUAGUACGCUUUGGAAACUGUUUAACUUGAGUGCAGAAGGGGAGAGUGGAAUUCCAUGUGUAGCGGUGAAAUGCGUAGAUAUAUGGAGGAACACCGGUGGCGAAAGCGGCUCUCUGGUCUGUAACUGACGCUGAGGCUCGAAAGCGUGGGGAGCGAACAGAAUUAGAUACCCUGGUAGUNCACGCCGUAAACGAUGAGUGCUAGGUGUUAGGCCCUUUCCGGGGCUUAGUGCCGCAGCUAACGCAUUAAGCACUCCGCCUGGGGAGUACGACCGCAAGGUUGAAACUCAAAGGAAUUGACGGGGGCCCGCACAAGCGGUGGAGCAUGUGGUUUAAUUCGAAGCAACGCGAAGAACCUUACCAGGUCUUGACAUCCCGAUGCCCGCUCUAGAGAUAGAGUUUUACUUCGGUACAUCGGUGACAGGUGGUGCAUGGUUGUCGUCAGCUCGUGUCGUGAGAUGUUGGGUUAAGUCCCGCAACGAGCGCAACCCUUAUUGUUAGUUGCCAUCAUUCAGUUGGGCACUCUAGCGAGACUGCCGGUAAUAAACCGGAGGAAGGUGGGGAUGACGUCAAAUCAUCACGCCCCUUAUGACCUGGGCUACACACGUGCUACAAUGGCUGGUACAACGAGUCGCAAGUCGGUGACGGCAAGCUAAUCUCUUAAAGCCAGUCUCAGUUCGGAUUGUAGGCUGCAACUCGCCUACAUGAAGUCGGAAUCGCUAGUAAUCGCGGAUCAGCACGCCGCGGUGAAUACGUUCCCGGGCCUUGUACACACCGCCCGUCACACCACGAGAGUUUGUAACACCCGAAGUCGGUGAGGUANCCUUUUAGGA